UUAUUUCCUGGGUAGCGCGUGGGCGAGUCGCAAGCGCACACAGGGCAGCGGUCUGGGAACCUGCGCCCCGCCUGCGCGCUGCGCACACCUGAGCCGCGGCGGCGCCCCUGCCCCCUCACCUAGGGCUGGUGGGGCGGGGUCUGCAGGCCGGGGGUGCACCGCGCGAGUUAAACCUCAGCUCGAACCUUAGCUGCGCGCAGUACCCAACCCCUUUAUCUCCCCCGCCCCCUCUUCCCCACUUCCUGCCGGGCUUUUAACUCGGGAUUGGCGGCGCGGCACAGACUGUAAACACGCCGCGCCUGCGGGGGAGGAGGCAGGUUCUGUUUGGGCCCCCGGGGGAAGGGCGAACUCCCCUCCCCGAGGCUGGUGAUCAGGCCCUUCCCCACUCCCCAAAGACCGAAGCCGGAGACCGGGGAGAGAGCGUCUGCGGCCGCUGUCGAUGAUCCGGGGGGCUCACCUGUCCUGGAGCACACACCGAAGUCCGGGUCCAUGACACGGCUGGCGGAAAGGAGGGCAGUUGGCUGGAUUAAGAACCUGAACUCUGGCACUGGGCAGACCCGGAUUCCUGGCAGGGAGAACUAUGCCCCGUGGCAAAUUAAAAAGAAGAAAAGACUAAAGACAAUUCCUGUCUAUCCCUGCUUUGCCAAGAGUUUUUUCCCCCCUAUUAUAAUAGAUGUGGACUUACUUCAAAUGCUUUUUUGGCAUCUGUUGAUGAUAUCACACAGUUGUCUUCCUUUAAUCUGUUGGUGUGAUGAAUUACAUUGACUUUUUUCAAAAUAAUAAACUUAACCAUGCACUUUGGCCUAAGGCAGCUCAAUCACAAUAUAUAUUUCUAGGAUUAGUUUGCUAUUAACUUGCUUAAAAUUUUGCAUCCAUGUUCAUAAGUUUAAUGAUCUUUUUAUAUACUGUUCUUGUUGGGUUUUGGAAUCAGUGUUAUUACACGUGAGUAGAGAAUUGGACUUCCUUUAUAUAUUCUUUGGAAGAGUUUGUGUAAGAAUGAAAACAAUUCUUUCAGAAAUGUUUCAUAGAGCUCUUUGCUUGUUCGCUGUUGAGGAGUACCCCAUUAUGGGAAUAAUAGUAGAGACAGGAGUGAAAGUAACUUGAACAAUACAGAAAAUAUGUUAUUUCACUCAUAAAAAGUCAGAGGUAGGGAGUUCAGGAUUGGUUAAUUCAGCAGCUUAAUAGCAUUAUCAAGGAGGGGAAUUCUUU
Tupaia belangeri chinensis (Chinese tree shrew) is the source of this 1209-nucleotide long non-coding RNA. RefSeq lists it as uncharacterized. The transcript has 3 exons. Lineage: Eukaryota; Metazoa; Chordata; Mammalia; Scandentia; Tupaiidae. The record is from RefSeq and is a predicted model, not a curated record.